This is a long non-coding RNA of Cornus florida, 963 nucleotides long. RefSeq lists it as uncharacterized. The transcript has 6 exons. Lineage: Eukaryota; Viridiplantae; Streptophyta; Magnoliopsida; Cornales; Cornaceae. The record is from RefSeq and is a predicted model, not a curated record.
UUAUUUUUUUUCCUUUCUUACUAUUUUCAUCAAACCAAAUGGAAACUAAAUAAAAAUAUGAGCAAUCGCACAAAAAAAAAAAAAAAAACUUCCAUCAAUUUCAAUUCUAAAGCUGAAAUUCCAUACCUGCCAAACACAGCCUUAGUAAAUUCUCUAAAAUUGAAAAAAGUUCCCAAAUUUUUUUAAAAAGGAAGUUUCAUUUCUCCUUUAAGCUCUGCUGAUUAGUUUGGUGUCAAAUGUCAAUGUAUGUAUCCGCAACUACAAGAUAGAAUAAAUCUUAAAAGUUUCUUUUAGAUAUAUUUUUUUUCCCUGUUUUUUGUGAGUGAUCCUUUUUUUGCUCCUCUCUUUCAUUUUUUCUGUUACCCAUGAAAAACCAAUGUUACUUAAAAUCCUUUACUAACUUUAUAUGCUCAAUCUUUUCCCCUCAAAUUAUUGUUAUGCGAAUUGCUAUUCAUACAAUUGCAGGAAAUUGAAAUCUCUCCUGAUGACAAAAGGGUGACUAAAGACGAAACCUUAUUGGUUGAUAGGAAUUCCGAUUUGUAGGAAUUUUGGAAUUCAUCCCCUUAUUAUAUUAAAGACGAAGACAGAGACAAAACCCGAAUGAGUAAGCAAUCUGCAGAAAUUAGAUAUCUUUGAGAAGCUUGAAAAGAAAGAUCAGGGACAAGAUGAGAAAGGUGAAAAAGAAAAGAAAGAAGAUGAAGAGGAAGAAGAUGAUGAAAGAAUCGAAGAGGGGGACGAAGAAUUCAGUGAUGAUGGGGAUUAUAAUCAGGCACUGCUGUUUUGGUGUAGGGUCGUUCUUGUUGGCAACCUUAACUAAUUAGCCUCCAAAUGGAAGAACAUUGAUUUUGAUGACGAUGAAGAUGACUUCAACAUGGCUGACGACAAUGAUGAUGAAGCGGCGUAUUAGAUGUUGUUCUUGGGAAUGCUUUUCUGGCUUUCUUCAACUUGGCAAAUGGAAGCAUU